Molecule: long non-coding RNA, 825 nt
Organism: Nicotiana attenuata
Lineage: Eukaryota; Viridiplantae; Streptophyta; Magnoliopsida; Solanales; Solanaceae
Exons: 2
Source: RefSeq, a predicted model, not a curated record
AUCCCAUCACUCUAAGCAUUUGUCCUGAGUCCCCUUUACCGUUUCAGAAGACCUUUCCCUUCUCCUCUCUCCUCUCUCUUUAUUCUCUACCAAAUUUUAUAAGACUCAAAAUAAAGUUAAAUCUGCACUUUUCACUUUUGCCUUUUUUAUGCAAGAAAGCUUGGGAUUCUUCGCACGCGUUUCUGAUCUCCCCAGCUUUUCUUCACCCCUUUGAAAAUUGGAACGGCUCUUUCACCAUUUUGAAGAUGCAAAAAUCCCGCCCAAAUCAGUCCUUGAGGAACCCUAGAAUCUCUCUAUAAAUACUUGCAAUCCAUACUAGUUUAAGAUCAAGCUUCAACCGCCAUUCUACUCAAAAAACAGAGAAAUUUUAGCUUUCUUUCUUACUUCUCCGUCUCUGUUUGUUCCUGGCAAUGCUUGGCAUUUUUCGGCGAUUUAUUGCCUUCCGGGUUAGCGAAUUCAAGGCCUGAGAUAGUCCCUUGAAGACGCCCCAGUUCACUGCACCGCAAAAGAUGGAGCGACAUGGAGUCUUUGCCCAUAUCCACACACAGAGUCAACAUAUCCCCUACUCUUAGAAUGCACCGGAUAGCAAGAAAAAUACGUUAAACGUUUGGGGACGUCUAUGACUUCCUUUUUCUUCCUUUUCUUUCCUUCUCAUCAUUCGUUAUAUUUUACCUUGUAUGAGUGUUGAUCUAUUUGUACGCUUUGGGAUUGUUCGUUAAAGCUCAUUUUUAACAUAUGAACUGGUAGCUAUUUGUUUAAGGAUUGUGUUGUAGUUGAUGGAUAACACAUUUUCUUAAGAUCUAGACGUGAAGACUUUAAAUUCAA